CCUACGGGUGGCAGCAGUGAGGAAUAUUGGUCAAUGGACGCAAGUCUGAACCAGCCAUGUCGCGUGCAGGAUGACGGCUCUAUGAGUUGUAAACUGCUUUUGUACGAGGGUAAACUCCGUCACGUGUAUCUUGUUGCACGUACCGUAUGAAUAAGGACCGGCUAAUUCCGUGCCAGCAGCCGCGGUAAUACGGAGGGUCCGAGCGUUAUCCGGAUUUAUUGGGUUUAAAGGGAGCGUAGGCGGUUUGAUAAGUGAGUGGUGAAAUGUCGGGGCUCAACCCCGGAACUGCCGCGAGAACUGUUGGGCUGGAGUAUACUUGCGGUAGGCGGAAUGUAUGGUGUAGCGGUGAAAUGCUUAGAGAUCAUGCAGAACACCGAUUGCGAAGGCAGCUUACCGAACUGUAACUGACGUUGAGGCUCGAAGGCGUGGGUAGCAAACAGGAUUAGAUACCCCUGUAGUC
RNAcentral lists this ribosomal RNA (460 nucleotides) under uncultured bacterium. RNAcentral describes it as "partial 16S ribosomal RNA". It matches the Rfam family "Bacterial small subunit ribosomal RNA", at positions 338 to 795 of the family's 1533-position model. The record is from RNAcentral.